CACUUGCAUCCUGGAAGGCCUUCCAGCCGAGGGAGUGGGGAGGGGGCGGUGGGCAGCAGCCCUGGACUCCCCGGGGCCCCAGGGAGGGUGUGUGUGCGCACGUGGGUGAGUCUAUUCCCGUGUCAUGUGCAUGUUUGUGCAGGGGUGUGGCCUGAACUCAGGCUCAGCCUCCUUCCCACCAAGAGGUAAGGCAGGAACAUUCCUUGGGGGUGUUGAGAGGACAGAAUGAGGACGCGUUGAGAAACCAUCCUCCAAGCCUUUGCAAUUGGACCUCACAGCCUCCCUCUUCUGUGGAUUGAUUCACUCUUACAGACCAUCCUCACAGCAUGACAUUCGGAUUUCAUGCUUCAGUACAACUACAAAUCGCUGCAUUUCAUGGAUGGCGGGUUUUACAAUCCCGCCGUUCAGUGAGUGGUGAUGGGCACAGUGUGUAUUAAGCAUCUGCCUCUUAUGCAGCCAGGUAGCUGCCAAAUGAGCCACCUCCAUGCAGAUGAAGUCAGACCUUAUUGUUGAAGAGGGGGGGGUGCAUGUGACAUUAAUUGUAUCUUAAUCAUCAAGCUGAAGACAUAACAAGAAAAUAAUGACAUUGCCACUUGAAGGUCAUCUCAGUCUACUGUUCAUCAUGUAAUCAGAUACCCUUAAAUGAACUCCAGCAGAAAAUCCAAGGAAUUCAUGGCUCGAUCUCCUAAGCACAUCCAGGAAAGUGCUAAUACCCUGGAUGUUUAAAAGGCAACGACAGUAGAACAGCUUAUCUGAACGUUUGGUGAUAAAACAAUACAGAAGUGGAAACUCCCGUGAAAAGUUUCCCCCCCCCCUCUCCUUUUAGUAACAAGAUCAGUCAUACGUUAUAGUCGUGUGACACUGUAAAGUUA
Long non-coding RNA from Pipistrellus kuhlii (Kuhl's pipistrelle), 872 nucleotides. RefSeq lists it as uncharacterized. The record is from RefSeq and is a predicted model, not a curated record. NCBI's taxonomy places the organism in Eukaryota, Metazoa, Chordata, Mammalia, Chiroptera, Vespertilionidae. The transcript has 4 exons.